Molecule: ribosomal RNA, 900 nt
Filed under: uncultured archaeon
Lineage: Archaea
Description: bacterial SSU rRNA
Rfam family: Archaeal small subunit ribosomal RNA
Source: RNAcentral
GUGGCAGCCGCCGCGGUAAAACCAGCACCUCAAGUGGUCAGGAGGAUUAUUGGGCCUAAAGCAUCCGUAGCCUGCUCUGUAAGUUUCCGGUUAAAUCCAUUAGCUCAACUAAUGGCCUGCCGGAAAUACUGCAGAGCUAGGAAGUGGGAGAGGUAGACGGUACUCGGUAGGAAGGGGUAAAAUCCUUUGAUCUAUUGAUGACCACCUGUGGCGAAGGCGGUCUACCAGAACACGUUCGACGGUGAGGGAUGAAAGCUGGGGGAGCAAACCGGAUUAGAUACCCGGGUAGUCCCAGCUGUAAACGAUGCAGACUCGGUGAUGCCCUGGCUUGUGGCCAGUGCAGUGCCGCAGGGAAGCCGUUAAGUUUGCCGCCUGGGAAGUACGUACGCAAGUAUGAAACUUAAAGGAAUUGGCGGGGGAGCACCACAAGGGGUGAAGCCUGCGGUUCAAUUGGAGUCAACGCCAGAAAUCUUACCCGGAGAGACAGCAGAAUGAAGGUCAAGCUGAAGACUUUACCAGACAAGCUGAGAGGUGGUGCAUGGCCGUCGCCAGCUCGUGCCGUGAGAUGUCCUGUUAAGUCAGGUAACGAGCGAGAUCCCUGCCUCUAGUUGCCACCAUUACUCUCAGGAGUAGUGGGGCGAAUUAGCGGGACCGCCACAGUUAAUGUGGAGGAAGGAAGGGGCCACGGCAGGUCAGUAUGCCCCGAAACUCUGGGGCCACACGCGGGCUGCAAUGGUAGUGACAAUGAGUUCCGAAACCGAAAGGUGGAGGUAAUCUUCAAACGCUACCACAGUUAUGAUUGAGGGCUGCAACUCGCCCUCAUGAAUAUGGAAUCCCUAGUAACUGCGUGUCAUUAUCGCGCGGUGAAUACGUCCCUGCUCCUUGUACACACCGCCCGUC